UGAUAGCUGUGAAGCGCGAGGUUGCUACCCAAUGUGGUAGGUUUUUCCGUGGAGCGAAUGUCAAGUUAGGAAACUGGCGACAA
This 83-nucleotide non-coding RNA is filed under the name pig gut metagenome. Its description in RNAcentral is "S10-Clostridia ribosomal protein leader". It matches the Rfam family "S10-Clostridia ribosomal protein leader". The record is from RNAcentral.